GGGCCCGCACAAGCGGUGGAGCAUGUGGUUUAAUUCGAAGCUACGCGAAGAACCUUACCAGGUCUUGACAUCUUGCGCCAACCCUAGAGAUAGGGCGUUUCCUUCGGGAACGCAAUGACAGGUGGUGCAUGGUCGUCGUCAGCUCGUGUCGUGAGAUGUUGGGUUAAGUCCCGCAACGAGCGCAACCCUUGUUACUAGUUGCCAGCAUUCAGUUGGGCACUCUAGUGAGACUGCCGGUGACAAACCGGAGGAAGGUGGGGACGACGUCAGAUCAUCAUGCCCCUUAUGACCUGGGCUACACACGUGCUACAAUGGACGGUACAACGAGUCGCGAACUCGCGAGGGCAAGCUAAUCUCUUAAAACCGUUCUCAGUUCGGACUGCAGGCUGCAACUCGCCUGCACGAAGUCGGAAUCGCUAGUAAUCGCGGAUCAGCAUGCCGCGGUGAAUACGUUCCCGGGCCUU
RNAcentral lists this ribosomal RNA (464 nucleotides) under uncultured bacterium. Its description in RNAcentral is "bacterial SSU rRNA". It matches the Rfam family "Bacterial small subunit ribosomal RNA", at positions 917 to 1382 of the family's 1533-position model. The record is from RNAcentral.